UGAAUAUGCCGAAGACAGCAGGUGCCGCAAGGCUUAAUAUCCCGCCGAGGUGGAGUUUCGCAAGUUUGUUUUUGCGUGCUUUCGUCCCCUGUCUUUCGGCAGGGGAUUUAUUUUUG
RNAcentral lists this small RNA (116 nucleotides) under human gut metagenome. RNAcentral's name for it is "Ribosomal protein L10 leader". It matches the Rfam family "Ribosomal protein L10 leader", at positions 13 to 133 of the family's 138-position model. Rfam says of the family: This family is a putative r-protein leader autoregulatory structure found in B. subtilis and other low-GC Gram-positive bacteria. It is located in the 5' untranslated regions of mRNAs encoding ribosomal proteins L10 and L12 (rplJ-rplL). The record is from RNAcentral.